RNAcentral lists this ribosomal RNA (482 nucleotides) under uncultured bacterium. Its description in RNAcentral is "bacterial SSU rRNA". It matches the Rfam family "Bacterial small subunit ribosomal RNA", at positions 30 to 507 of the family's 1533-position model. The record is from RNAcentral.
AUUGAACGCUGGCGGCAUGCCUUACACAUGCAAGUCGAACGGUAACGGGCCUUCGGGUGCCGACGAGUGGCGAACGGGUGAGUAAUGCAUCGGAACGUACCUUUCAGUGGGGGAUAACGUAGCGAAAGUUACGCUAAUACCGCAUAUUCUGUGAGCAGGAAAGCAGGGGAUCGCAAGACCUUGCGCUGAUUGAGCGGCCGAUGUCAGAUUAGCUAGUUGGUGAGGUAAAGGCUCACCAAGGCGACGAUCUGUAGCGGGUCUGAGAGGAUGAUCCGCCACACUGGAACUGAGACACGGUCCAGACUCCUACGGGAGGCAGCAGUGGGGAAUUUUGGACAAUGGGCGCAAGCCUGAUCCAGCCAUGCCGCGUGAGUGAAGAAGGCCUUCGGGUUGUAAAGCUCUUUCGGCCGGGAAGAAAUCGCAUGGGUUAAUACCCUGUGUGGAUGACGGUACCGGAAUAAGAAGCACCGGCUAACUACGUG